AUGUAUAUGUAUAGCUGCAGGCUCGGCGGCUCGCUACUUCAGCUUCGGCUCGGAAUCGGACGCGCCCGUCCGUCUGGUCGUGAACGAGAAGCAUAGGUACGGCCGAUAUGUCCGAUACGGAGUGAAUGCACAAGGAUUUUCCGAGGCCCGGACGGCCAGACUCGACCAAGUGACCGGACCCAAUUCAGUUCGGCGAACACAAGGACGCGCCGAUCGAGUUAAUUCAGGUGGCUCACGACCUCACGGAUUCCCCGUGACGACCCUCGGACUUGGGCCAGCUAGCAGCUACCAGGCUACUACCACGUCAAGUCACCAAAAAUUGCAGCCAAGGCUGGUCAGUUGUGUGGACGGAUGGAUUGAUUCGAGCAACUGGAAUUGGAAAUUCGAGACGGGGCCGCUGGACCGAUUGCACACCGGGUUACUGCUGGGAACUGUAAAUAUGGGCGUGUUGUUAAAUUGAGUGGCGCGCGUGUGCAUGAAUUGAAGGUGUCUCCUCAAAAAAAUGAAUUGAAGGGGCGAACCUACCGUUCAUCUCGCCAUUUACAGAGGACGGAUGGAUGUAUGCCCAGUGUUUUAUGCUUCUUUUAUCUGGCCAUUUCUUGAUGUGUGGCAGGGGCUAGGAAUUGUUAUCGGAUAGGGGCUUCCAUUAUCUUGAUAUUUUUUGGGUUCAUCUUUCCCCAUCUCUCUUUUUGUGUAUUCUUUUUUUUAAUCUAUCUGAUUGCAUUUUUAUUACUAACCACAUUUGCCACGUGGUCUCUUUUUGUGUAUUCACCCCUGUGAUUGGUGGAUGUUGAUUUGUGGGUCUAGCAUGAGAAAGAUUGAUGGUGGAGAACGUUGUCGGCAACAUCCACAAGCGGAACAGGUUGCCCUUACGUACCAUCCAUAGCUUGACAUCUUCUCAAUUGGCACAGGGUCAAGUUCAAACAUUCAGAUAUGUGUAACUCCUGCUUUGCAAGAAAAUGUUUCAGAACCAAAUCAAUGUACUUACCUUUUGCUUUUUCAU
RNAcentral lists this long non-coding RNA (1003 nucleotides) under Brachypodium distachyon (stiff brome). RNAcentral's name for it is "long non-coding RNA (BDIS_LNC004030)". The record is from RNAcentral. Lineage: Eukaryota; Viridiplantae; Streptophyta; Magnoliopsida; Poales; Poaceae.